AUUGGACGCUAGCGGCAUGCCUAACACAUGCAAGUCGAACGGCAGCGCGGGGAGCUUGCUCCCUGGCGGCGAGUGGCGGACGGGUGAGUAACGCGUAGGAAUCUACCUUAUAGUGGGGGACAACCCGAGGAAACUCGGGCUAAUACCGCAUAAUCUCUAAGGAGCAAAGCGGGGGAUCUUCGGACCUCGCGCUGUAAGAUGAGCCUGCGUCGGAUUAGCUUGUUGGUGGGGUAAUGGCCUACCAAGGCAACGAUCCGUAGCUGGUCUGAGAGGACGAUCCGCCACACUGGGACUGAGACACGGCCCAG
RNAcentral lists this ribosomal RNA (308 nucleotides) under uncultured Coxiella sp. RNAcentral's name for it is "bacterial SSU rRNA". It matches the Rfam family "Bacterial small subunit ribosomal RNA", at positions 30 to 334 of the family's 1533-position model. Lineage: Bacteria; Pseudomonadati; Pseudomonadota; Gammaproteobacteria; Legionellales; Coxiellaceae. The record is from RNAcentral.